RNAcentral lists this ribosomal RNA (207 nucleotides) under uncultured bacterium. RNAcentral's name for it is "partial 16S ribosomal RNA". It matches the Rfam family "Bacterial small subunit ribosomal RNA", at positions 568 to 774 of the family's 1533-position model. The record is from RNAcentral.
UGCGCAGGCGGUUCGUUGUGUCGGCGGUGAAAGCCCCGGGCUUAACCUGGGAAUGGCCGUUGAAACUGGCGAACUGGAGUGUGGCAGAGGGGGGUGGAAUUCCGCGUGUAGCAGUGAAAUGCGUAGAGAUGCGGAGGAACACCGAUGGCGAAGGCAGCCCCCUGGGCUGACACUGACGCUCAGGCACGGAAGCGUGGGGAGCAAACA